GGGGCUUUCGGCAGCUAUACAUGCAAGUCGAACGGGAUUGAGAAGCUUGCUUUUCAUGAGAGUGGCGCACGGGUGCGUAACACGUAUGUAACCUACCUUAAUCUGGGGGAUAGCCUCUCGAAAGAGAGAUUAACACCGCAUAACAUUACCGGACAGCAUUUUCUGGUAAUCAAAUAUCUAUAGGAUUAAGAUGGGCAUGCGGAACAUUAGCUAGUUGGUAAGGUAAUGGCUUACCAAGGCUACGAUGUUUAGGGGAUCUGAGAGGAUGACCCCCCACACUGGUACUGAGACACGGACCAGACUCCUACGGGAGGCAGCAGUAAGGAAUAUUGGUCAAUGGGCGCAAGCCUGAACCAGCCAUGCCGCGUGCAGGAAGACGGCCCUACGGGUUGUAAACUGCUUUUGUACCGGAAUAAACCUUUUCACGUGUGAGAAGCUGAAUGUACGGUAAGAAUAAGGAUCGGCUAACUCCGUGCCAGCAGCCGCGGUAAUACGGAGGAUCCAAGCGUUAUCCGGAUUUAUUGGGUUUAAAGGGUGCGUAGGCGGUUCUUUAAGUCAGGGGUGAAAGACGGUAGCUUAACUAUCGCAGUGCCUUUGAUACUGAAGAACUUGAAUACACUUGAGGUAGGCGGAAUGUGACAAGUAGCGGUGAAAUGCAUAGAUAUGUCACAGAACACCAAUUGCGAAGGCAGCUUACUAAAGUGUCAUUGACGCUGAGGCACGAAAGCGUGGGGAUCAAACAGGAUUAGAUACCCUGGUAGUCCACGCCCUAAACGAUGAAUACUCGAUGUUGGCGAUAUACGGUCAGCGUCUAAGCGAAAGCGUUAAGUAUUCCACCUGGGGAGUACGCCCGCAAGGGUGAAACUCAAAGGAAUUGACGGGGGCCCGCACAAGCGGAGAGCCAUGGUGGUUUAAUUUCGAUGAUACGCGAGGAACCUUACCCGGGCUUGAAGGUUAGUGAAUGAUUCAGAGACGAAUCA
Molecule: ribosomal RNA, 980 nt
Filed under: uncultured bacterium
Lineage: Bacteria
Description: bacterial SSU rRNA
Rfam family: Bacterial small subunit ribosomal RNA
Source: RNAcentral